ACCUGGCUGGCUCGGUUGGUAGAGCGAGCGACUUUUGAUCUCCGGGUUGUGAGUUUGAGCCCCACGUUGGGUG
Molecule: transfer RNA, 73 nt
Filed under: Ailuropoda melanoleuca (giant panda)
Lineage: Eukaryota; Metazoa; Chordata; Mammalia; Carnivora; Ursidae
Rfam family: tRNA
About the family: Transfer RNA (tRNA) molecules are approximately 80 nucleotides in length. Their secondary structure includes four short double-helical elements and three loops (D, anti-codon, and T loops). Further hydrogen bonds mediate the characteristic L-shaped molecular structure. tRNAs have two regions of fundamental functional importance: the anti-codon, which is responsible for specific mRNA codon recognition, and the 3' end, to which the tRNAs corresponding amino acid is attached (by aminoacyl-tRNA synthetases). tRNAs cope with the degeneracy of the genetic code in two manners: having more than one tRNA (with a specific anti-codon) for a particular amino acid; and 'wobble' base-pairing, i.e. permitting non-standard base-pairing at the 3rd anti-codon position.
Source: Rfam by way of RNAcentral